RNAcentral lists this long non-coding RNA (579 nucleotides) under Gopherus agassizii (Agassiz's desert tortoise). RNAcentral's name for it is "lncRNA (ENSGAGG00000015154.1)". The record is from RNAcentral. Lineage: Eukaryota; Metazoa; Chordata; Testudines; Testudinidae.
CUCUUUAACUAGAAGACUAACAACUUAAAGCUUUAUCCCUGUGAGUACUAGAAAAGUGAUCUGAGUAUUUAUUAAACAGAGAGAACAAACUGCCUACUUCAGGCAGGGAGGAAGCGUAUGGAAAUUAUAUUAGAACUUCAGCAAAGUGCAGAGCUGCAUAAUACAGAAGUUGGGACUCAAAUUGACAGGCUAAUAAGCCAGCUCACUGAAGGGGGCUCUGUGUGGCAGCUCUGAGCUACUAAGUGUUGGACAACUGUAGGCAAAAUGUGAAAUGGAACAGGGCAGAAAAUAACACACUAACUUCAGGCAAUGGUGCUUUCUCGUGGUCUUCAGGGAUUUUACAUUCUGUAGCUGGCAAAACAAGUCCCCAUUUAAAUACUAAGCUUACUACCCUAAUGACUGUGAAGUACUUGUUCCCUGGAACUGCACCUGUUCAGCAUGACACCCUGCUUUGCUGGCGAUGUCACAUGCAGCACGGACUAUAAUUGGAGAAUGAAACCUGUCUGUGGGGGCAAGGUAUGUUCCAUUCUUUUUCAGCAGUUCAUGGUUUGCUAAGGUUCUUCAUAUUCAUUUUUCUAC